CUCUUAUUAGUACGAAAGGACCAUAAGAGUAAAAUAAUUUUNNAUUUGUUGGAUUAAUAUUAAUUUAAUUAANU
RNAcentral lists this ribosomal RNA (74 nucleotides) under Betiscoides sp. B124_li_34. Its description in RNAcentral is "partial 16S ribosomal RNA". The record is from RNAcentral. Lineage: Eukaryota; Metazoa; Arthropoda; Insecta; Orthoptera; Lentulidae.